Molecule: long non-coding RNA, 788 nt
Filed under: Mytilus galloprovincialis (Mediterranean mussel)
Lineage: Eukaryota; Metazoa; Mollusca; Bivalvia; Mytilida; Mytilidae
Source: RNAcentral
GUUGGCAUGACACGGGUUAUGUUCUUCUCAUAUAUGUUAUGAUGGUAUGAUACUAAACCCCUAACGGGAAGGAUUGUGCCUGAUGUUCAUAUUAUGAAAUCAUAAUCUUUCAGUCAGUUUAAUUGAAGAUUGGAGCUGGCAUGUCAGUUAACUGCUAGUAGUCUGUUGUUAUUUAUGUAUUAUUGUCAUUUUGUUCAUUUUCUUUGGUUACAUCUUCUGAUAUCAGACUCGAAUUUCUCUUGAACUGAAUUUAAAUGUGCGUAUUGUUAUGCGUUUACUUUUCUACAUUGGCUCGAGGUAUAGGUGGAGGGUUGGGAUCUCACAAACAUGUUUAACCCCGCCGCAUUUUUGCGCCUGUCCCAAGGCAGGAGCCUCUGGCCUUUGUUAGGCUUGUAUUAUUUUAAUUUUAGUUUCUUGUGUACAAUUUGGAAAUUAGUAUGGCGUUCAUUAUCACUGAACUAGUAGUAGUAUAUAUUUGUUUAGGGGCCAGCUGAAGGACGCCUCCGGGUGCGGGAAUUUCUCGCUACAUUGGAGACUUGUUGGUGACCUUCUGCUGUUGUUUUUUCGGUCGGGUUGUUGUCUCUUUGACACAUUCCCCAUUUCCAUUCUCAAUUUUAUAUACAGAUACAAAUACAGAGGAUGUCGCGGUCGUUGUUAAUGUGGAAAAUCGGGUCUCCCCUGCACUGCUUUGUUUUCAUGUGGUGGUGACAAUGAAUGAAUAUGUUUUUUUUAGCCAAAUAGUAGUAAUUUGAUUUUUUUUAAUGUGUUUUAGUAAUUUUAUUUUGUUU